RNAcentral lists this ribosomal RNA (252 nucleotides) under Clostridioides sp. ZZV14-6154. RNAcentral describes it as "partial 16S ribosomal RNA". It matches the Rfam family "Bacterial small subunit ribosomal RNA", at positions 62 to 323 of the family's 1533-position model. Lineage: Bacteria; Bacillati; Bacillota; Clostridia; Peptostreptococcales; Peptostreptococcaceae. The record is from RNAcentral.
UUGAGCGAUUUACUUCGGUAAAGAGCGGCGGACGGGUGAGUAACGCGUGGGUAACCUACCCUGUACACACGGAUAACAUACCGAAAGGUAUGCUAAUACGGGAUAAUAUAUUUGAGAGGCAUCUCUUAAAUAUCAAAGGUGAGCCAGUACAGGAUGGACCCGCGUCUGAUUAGCUAGUUGGUAAGGUAACGGCUUACCAAGGCGACGAUCAGUAGCCGACCUGAGAGGGUGAUCGGCCACAUUGGAACUGAG